GAACUCAUCUCAUCUUGCCAAUCGCUUUCUCUCGAUCUGAUUAUUUGGAUUAAUUAGGAUUCACUUUUUGUUGAAAUUCGGCAUAGGACCGGCGAUCGGCUUUCUUUUACUGAUUUUGUUUGUGUUGAUCUAGAUCUGAGUAAAGGUUGAGGUGAAGUGCUGUUGCUUGCUAGGGCGGUUGACCAUCUGUGUUGACUGUUUGAUUUUGAACAAGAAAAUGGAACCACCAUAAGCUUAAAUAGAACUUGUCAGCCAAUACCAAACUUGUGUUUCUAAAAGUUCAAAUGAAGUUGAAAGCAAGAAGUAACAAUUAUUCCCCUUUUAUGUUA
This is a non-coding RNA of Lactuca sativa (garden lettuce), 329 nucleotides long. The record is from RefSeq and is a predicted model, not a curated record. NCBI's taxonomy places the organism in Eukaryota, Viridiplantae, Streptophyta, Magnoliopsida, Asterales, Asteraceae.